GGUAUGUACUAGCUUGCUGAUUCCUCCUUCUUGUAGAACCGUAAUGCCAUUAAUUUGGUGUUGCGGGGAAACAGGACUGUUACUUUGAAAAAAUUAGAGUGUUUAAAGCAGGCUAGCGCCUGAAUACAUUAGCAUGGAAUAAUGAAAUAGGACGUUCGAACCUAUUUUGUUGGUUUCUAGGAUUGACGUAAUGAUUAAUAGGGGUAGUUGGGGGCAUUAGUAUUCAAUCGUCAGAGGUGAAAUUCUUGGAUUUAUUGAAGACUGACUACUGCGAAAGCAUUUGCCAAGGAUGUUUUCAUUAAUCAAGAACGAAAGUUAGGGGAUCGAAGACGAUCAGAUACCGUCGUAGUCUUAACCAUAAACUAUGCCGACUAGGGAUCGGAUGAUGUUAAUUUUUUAAUGACUCAUUCGGCGCCUUACG
Molecule: ribosomal RNA, 421 nt
Filed under: uncultured Glomeromycotina
Lineage: Eukaryota; Fungi; Glomeromycota
Description: SSU rRNA
Rfam family: Eukaryotic small subunit ribosomal RNA
Source: RNAcentral